Long non-coding RNA from Sinocyclocheilus rhinocerous, 360 nucleotides. RefSeq lists it as uncharacterized. The transcript has 3 exons. The record is from RefSeq and is a predicted model, not a curated record. NCBI's taxonomy places the organism in Eukaryota, Metazoa, Chordata, Actinopteri, Cypriniformes, Cyprinidae.
GAACAUAGAUCAAUUGCUUGUGUGUGUGUGUUUGUGGCAGGAGUGAGUUGUCAGUUGAGAAAAGUUCGGUGUUACAGGCAGAGCUUCAGUCCUGCAAUCAGCUGCUGGAGCUCGAACCGCAGAACAAGUGGUGUCUGCUGACAAUCAUACUCCUCAUGAGAGCUCUGGAUCCUCUAGGCCAUGAGAAAGAGACACUGGCACAUUUUCAAACCCUUAAAGAAGUGGACCCGAUGCGCUCUACCUACUACAGUGACCUGUGCAGCAAGUUUCUGAUUGAAAACACCAUUCUGAAAAUGGAGUAUGCAGAGGUGCGAGUGUUUAGCCUGUCAAAUAAGGUAAGAGAGCCCAACUCUGGUCUGA